Molecule: ribosomal RNA, 497 nt
Filed under: uncultured bacterium
Lineage: Bacteria
Description: partial 16S ribosomal RNA
Rfam family: Bacterial small subunit ribosomal RNA
Source: RNAcentral
GAUGAACGCUGGCGGCGUGCCUAAUACAUGCAAGUCGAGCGAACGGACGAGAAGCUUGCUUUUCUGAUGUUAGCGGCGGACGGGUGAGUAACACGUGGGUAACCUACCUAUAGGACUGGGAUAACUUCGGGAAACCGGAGCUAAUACCGGAUAAUAUUUUGAACCGCAUGGUUCAAAAGUGAAAGACGGUCUUGCUGUCACUUAUAGAUGGAUCCGCGCUGCAUUAGCUAGUUGGUAAGGUAACGGCUUACCAAGGCAACGAUGCAUAGCCGACCUGAGAGGGUGAUCGGCCACACUGGAACUGAGACACGGUCCAGACUCCUACGGGAGGCAGCAGUAGGGAAUCUUCCGCAAUGGGCGAAAGCCUGACGGAGCAACGCCGCGUGAGUGAUGAAGGUCUUCGGAUCGUAAAACUCUGUUAUUAGGGAAGAACAUAUGUGUAAGUAACUGUGCACAUCUUGACGGUACCUAAUCAGAAAGCCACGGCUAACUACGUG